CAAUUUCGCUCUUCUAUCUCCUUUUCCCUGAUCUCUAGUGUUGUACUAGAUUACCUUGUUAAUGACUCUGGUGUGGCUGUGAAGAUUGUGUGGUUUCUCCCUCUCUGGCACCAGCUGCUCCUCCAGAAACUAAGGGUAUUUGGGCAUUUCCUUCAUCUUCCUGAGCUGGACUGCUAGAUCACCACUUGCUCCUUCUUCAGGUGACUCACCUGCUUGCAUGCCGGUUGGAUAAGGGCUUGCUGCCACCUCAACAAAGCUGGUUUGGUGUGAUAAUCUCAAGCUAUAUUUACUAUCAGUAGAAAUUUUGUAAAGCCUGACAUGUUUAGUGCUUUUGCACUUGAGUCCCACAAGUUAGUAAAAUUUAAGAUUACUAUGAAUUUAGGGACUGAUAUGCAAUUGCCCUAGAACUCAAGAGUUUUUCUGAAAAAUAAAUAAUUAUUGAAUCUU
Molecule: long non-coding RNA, 447 nt
Filed under: Oryza sativa tropical japonica subgroup
Lineage: Eukaryota; Viridiplantae; Streptophyta; Magnoliopsida; Poales; Poaceae
Description: lncRNA OsAzu_06g0015670
Source: RNAcentral